AUUUGCCAAUAGGUCAACUAUAAAAUUUCUCUUGAAGUAAGGAAAACUUAAGGAGUGUGCUGUGUUCUGGUACUUGGCUCUGGUUAUAGUUCUCUCUCCAUGGCAGUCUGUGAUGGAAAAGACUUUCAAAGAUUCAGAGAAGAGACUCAGAAAGGACUCAGAAGGGUGGAGGACUGAGCAGUGAAGUGGAGGAAUGGGGCUGAGAGAUGAGCACCAACUUGGCCCCCGAGUAAAGCUGCGUGAUCAGCUUCUCCCGCUCGCAGGGCAUUUGUAACGGGGCAACCAGAUGGCUUCAGGAGGCACCUCUGAAGAUUCUGCAUUGCUCAGAUUAUGCAUAAGGAAUAAAAUGUCAUUAACAAUUUGAUUUUAAAUUUUCUGUGUCCUUUUAACUCAUUGUGACAAUAAACACAUGACA
Molecule: long non-coding RNA, 415 nt
Filed under: Homo sapiens (human)
Lineage: Eukaryota; Metazoa; Chordata; Mammalia; Primates; Hominidae
Description: novel transcript
Source: RNAcentral